UGGCCACGCAAGUCUAUCGGGAAAUCCGCGCGCUCAACGCGCGGGCGUCCGGUGGAAACUGUGUGGCUUGGGACCGGAAGAUCCAGAGGGUACGUCUGGGGUAGGAGUGAAAUCCCGUAAUCCUGGACGGACCACCGGUGGCGAAAGCGCUCUGGAAAGACGGAUCCGACGGUGAGGGACGAAAGCUCGGGUCACGAACCGGAUUAGAUACCCGGGUAGUCCGAGCUGUAAACGAUGUCUGCUAGGUGUGCCACAGGCUACGAGCCUGUGGUGUGCCGUAGGGAAGCCGUGAAGCAGACCGCCUGGGAA
RNAcentral lists this ribosomal RNA (309 nucleotides) under uncultured archaeon. RNAcentral's name for it is "bacterial SSU rRNA". It matches the Rfam family "Archaeal small subunit ribosomal RNA", at positions 526 to 834 of the family's 1478-position model. The record is from RNAcentral.